GACGAACGCUGGCGGCGUGCUUAACACAUGCAAGUCGAACGAUGAAGCACCAGCUUGCUGGUGUGGAUUAGUGGCGAACGGGUGAGUAACACGUGAGUAACCUGCCCCUCACUCUGGGAUAAGCCUGGGAAACUGGGUCUAAUACUGGAUACGACCGAUCUCCGCAUGGAAUGUUGGUGGAAAGUUUUUGUGGUGGGGAUGGACUCGCGGCCUAUCAGCUUGUUGGUGGGGUAAUGGCCUACCAAGGCGACGACGGGUAGCCGGCCUGAGAGGGCGACCGGCCACACUGGGACUGAGACACGGCCCAGACUCCUACGGGAGGCAGCAGUGGGGAAUAUUGCACAAUGGGCGAAAGCCUGAUGCAGCGACGCCGCGUGAGGGAUGACGGCCUUCGGGUUGUAAACCUCUUUCACCAGGGACGAAGCUAACGUGACGGUACCUGGAGAAGAAGCACCGGCUAACUACGUG
This 468-nucleotide ribosomal RNA is filed under the name uncultured bacterium. RNAcentral's name for it is "partial 16S ribosomal RNA". It matches the Rfam family "Bacterial small subunit ribosomal RNA", at positions 28 to 507 of the family's 1533-position model. The record is from RNAcentral.